This is an RNA transcript of Cercocebus atys (sooty mangabey), 630 nucleotides long. RefSeq lists it as uncharacterized. The record is from RefSeq and is a predicted model, not a curated record. NCBI's taxonomy places the organism in Eukaryota, Metazoa, Chordata, Mammalia, Primates, Cercopithecidae. The transcript is spliced from 3 exons.
AUGUACUGCCAGAUUCAUCUAAAUGUCUAUCAUGUCCAGAUUUACUUUGCUUCUGUUACUGCCAGACUUUUCUAUUCACAAUUCAGUUUCUCCCAACCAACCAGUCUUCACUUCAAAAGGGCCACACUGCAACCUCAGCUAAACUCCAUGAGCUCAGGAGUAGGGCUUGACCAGGCAUGGUGGAUCACCGGAGGUCAGUAGUUCAAGACCAGCCUGGCCAACAUGGUGAAACCCCACCUCUGCUAAAAAUUGUGUGUAUCUUUGUGUGUCUUGUUUAUGUAUGCUAAGGGAGUAUUUUCACAAAGUUCAAAACAGCCACAAUAAUCAGAGAUGGAGCAAACCAAUGCCAUCCAGUCUUUAUGCAAAUGAAACACUGCAAAGGGAAGCAGAUUCUGUAUAUGUAACUACCCACCAAGAGCACAUGGGUAGCAGGGAAGAAGUAAAAAUAAAGAAGGAGAAUACUGGAAGAUAAUGCAUGAAAUGAAGGGACUAGUUAAGGAUUAAGAAAAUAGCAAAAGACAUUAAAUAUACUAACAUAGCUAUGGAAGAAUUGAGGGUGAGCAUCCAAGACUGAUGAGGUCUUAACAAAAACCAGUGUAGCAAAAAAAAAAAAAAAAAAAUCCUAAAAAC